AUUGAACGCUGGCGGCAGGCUUAACACAUGCAAGUCGAGCGGGGUGAUGGUGCUUGCACUAUCACUUAGCGGCGGACUGGUGAGUAAUGCUUAGGAAUCUGCCUAUUAGUGGGGGACAACAUCUCGAAAGGGAUGCUAAUACCGCAUACGUCCUACGGGAGAAAGCAGGGGAUCACUUGUGACCUUGCGCUAAUAGAUGAGCCUAAGUCGGAUUAGCUAGUUGGUGGGGUAAAGGCCUACCAAGGCGACGAUCUGUAGCGGGUCUGAGAGGAUGAGCAGCCACACUGGGACUGAGACACGGCCCAGACUCCUACGGGAGGCAGCAGUGGGGAAUAUUGGACAAUGGGGGGAACCCUGAUCCAGCCAUGCCGCGUGUGUGAAGAAGGCCUUAUGGUUGUAAAGCACUUUAAGCGAGGAGGAGGCUCUUUUGGUUAAUACCCAAGAUGAGUGGACGUUACUCGCAGAAUAAGCACCGGCUAACUCUGUGCCAGCAGCCGCCGUAA
This 503-nucleotide ribosomal RNA is filed under the name uncultured bacterium. Its description in RNAcentral is "partial 16S ribosomal RNA". It matches the Rfam family "Bacterial small subunit ribosomal RNA", at positions 30 to 523 of the family's 1533-position model. The record is from RNAcentral.